This 253-nucleotide ribosomal RNA is filed under the name uncultured bacterium. Its description in RNAcentral is "partial 16S ribosomal RNA". It matches the Rfam family "Bacterial small subunit ribosomal RNA", at positions 524 to 776 of the family's 1533-position model. The record is from RNAcentral.
UACGAAGGGGGCUAGCGUUGUUCGGAAUUACUGGGCGUAAAGCGUGCGCAGGCGGCCAUGCAAGACAGAUGUGAAAUCCCCGGGCUUAACCUGGGAACUGCAUUUGUGACUGCAUGGCUGGAGUGCGGCAGAGGGGGAUGGAAUUCCGCGUGUAGCAGUGAAAUGCGUAGAUAUGCGGAGGAACACCGAUGGCGAAGGCAAUCCCCUGGGCCUGCACUGACGCUCAUGCACGAAAGCGUGGGGAGCAAACAGG